This 426-nucleotide ribosomal RNA is filed under the name Triticum aestivum (bread wheat). RNAcentral describes it as "partial small subunit ribosomal RNA". The record is from RNAcentral. Lineage: Eukaryota; Viridiplantae; Streptophyta; Magnoliopsida; Poales; Poaceae.
AUGUACAAGUGGUUGGAGCGACCACUUAGUGGGUGCGCCUAUAAGUGGAUUUGGAAAGCUAAACUUCUUCUUAAAAUGCAGAUCUUCCUUUGGCAACUUGCUCAAGAUGCGGUGCUUACCAGGCAAGUGAUGCGCCAACGAAAGUGGCAAGGGAACCCUGUGUGUUCUUUUUGUCAUCAGAUUGAAACAUCCUAGCACUUAUUCUUUGGUUGCUCUGUGGCCAAGGUUGUUUGGCGAUCGAUUAGGGUCACGCUUGGGACAGAUUUGUGCCCUAGUAAUUACUGGCAAUUUUUUGUCUGGUGCUACUCCUUCUUACCUGGAUAUGAAUCCUUCUAUACUGUGGCGCUUGGGGCAGUCACUUGGGCCAUCUGGCUGGCUCGUAAUAGAGCUACUUUUGAGAAAAAAAAUGAUCAAAUCUCCUUUUGA